RNAcentral lists this ribosomal RNA (660 nucleotides) under uncultured bacterium. RNAcentral describes it as "bacterial SSU rRNA". It matches the Rfam family "Bacterial small subunit ribosomal RNA", at positions 144 to 803 of the family's 1533-position model. The record is from RNAcentral.
UAGCCUUUCGAAAGAAAGAUUUAUAUCCGAUAGCAUAUAUUUCCCGCAUGGGUUUUAUACUAUAGAAAUUCGGUAUGAGAUGGGGAUGCGUUCCAUUAGUUUGUUGGGGGGGUAACGGCCCACCAAGACUACGAUGGAUAGGGGUUCUGAGAGGAAGGUCCCCCACAUUGGAACUGAGACACGGUCCAAACUCCUACGGGAGGCAGCAGUGAGGAAUAUUGGUCAAUGGACGCGAGUCUGAACCAGCCAAGUAGCGUGAAGGAUGACUGCCCUAUGGGUUGUAAACUUCUUUUAUAUGGGAAUAAAGUUGUCCACGUGUGGAUUUUUGUAUGUACCAUAUGAAUAAGGAUCGGCUAACUCCGUGCCAGCAGCCGCGGUAAUACGGAGGAUCCGAGCGUUAUCCGGAUUUAUUGGGUUUAAAGGGAGCGUAGGCGGAUUGUUAAGUCAGUUGUGAAAGUUUGCGGCUCAACCGUAAAAUUGCAGUUGAUACUGGCAGUCUUGAGUGCAGUAGAGGUGGGCGGAAUUCGUGGUGUAGCGGUGAAAUGCUUAGAUAUCACGAAGAACUCCGAUUGCGAAGGCAGCUCACUGGAGUGUAACUGACGCUGAUGCUCGAAAGUGUGGGUAUCAAGCAGGAUUAGAUACCCUGGUAGUCCACACAGU